Molecule: small nuclear RNA, 24 nt
Filed under: Arabidopsis thaliana (thale cress)
Lineage: Eukaryota; Viridiplantae; Streptophyta; Magnoliopsida; Brassicales; Brassicaceae
Description: snRNA_07892
Source: RNAcentral
AUCAGAAACCCUGACGUGGCUGCC